Camelina sativa (false flax) is the source of this 270-nucleotide non-coding RNA. Lineage: Eukaryota; Viridiplantae; Streptophyta; Magnoliopsida; Brassicales; Brassicaceae. The record is from RefSeq and is a predicted model, not a curated record.
UAAAAUUAGACUCACAAACCAAACAUUUCAGGACAGGGUUGGUUCAAUGAGAGGAGGCAUAGAGUUCAUGGAGCUAUGUGGGUUUGAGAAAAUUGAAGGAGAGUUCUUGUUCUUACCUAGAGACAAGAUCGAUUCAGCCAUUAUCAACUCAACUGGAACAGAGCUCAAUUUCGCCAUCAACAACCCUUUCUUUGGAGUUCUUUAAAUCGAUGCAAUGUCUUCUUGUGUCAAAUUAUGAAAACUUUUUAAAAGAACAAAAAAAUUCGGAUA